AGAGUUUGAUCCUGGCUCAGAUUGAACGCUGGCGGCAGGCCUAACACAUGCAAGUCGAGCGGUAACAGGGGUAGCUUGCUACCCGCUGACGAGCGGCGGACGGGUGAGUAAUGCAUAGGAAUCUGCCCGAUAGUGGGGGAUAACCUGGGGAAACCCAGGCUAAUACCGCAUACGUCCUACGGGAGAAAGGGGGCUUUGGCUCCCGCUAUUGGAUGAGCCUAUGUCGGAUUAGCUAGUUGGUAAGGUAAUGGCUUACCAAGGCAACGAUCCGUAGCUGGUCUGAGAGGAUGAUCAGCCACAUCGGGACUGAGACACGGCCCGAACUCCUACGGGAGGCAGCAGUGGGGAAUAUUGGACAAUGGGGGCAACCCUGAUCCAGCCAUGCCGCGUGUGUGAAGAAGGCCCUCGGGUUGUAAAGCACUUUCAGCGAGGAAGAACGCCUGUCGGUUAAUACCCGGUAGGAAAGACAUCACUCGCAGAAGAAGCACCGGCUAACUCCGUGCCAGCAGCCGCGGUAAUACGGAGGGUGCAAGCGUUAAUCGGAAUUACUGGGCGUAAAGCGCGCGUAGGUGGCUUGAUAAGCCGGUUGUGAAAGCCCCGGGCUCAACCUGGGAACGGCAUCCGGAACUGUCAGGCUAGAGUGCAGGAGAGGAAGGUAGAAUUCCCGGUGUAGCGGUGAAAUGCGUAGAGAUCGGGAGGAAUACCAGUGGCGAAGGCGGCCUUCUGGACUGACACUGACACUGAGGUGCGAAAGCGUGGGUAGCAAACAGGAUUAGAUACCCUGGUAGUCCACGCCGUAAACGAUGUCGACCAGCCGUUGGGUGCCUAGAGCACUUUGUGGCGAAGUUAACGCGAUAAGUCGACCGCCUGGGGAGUACGGCCGCAAGGUUAAAACUCAAAUGAAUUGACGGGGGCCCGCACAAGCGGUGGAGCAUGUGGUUUAAUUCGAUGCAACGCGAAGACCUUACCUACUCUUGACAUCCUGCGAAUUUGGGUAGAGAUACCUUAGUGCCUUCGGGAACGCAGAGACAGGUGCUGCAUGGCUGUCGUCAGCUCGUGUUGUGAAUGUUGGUUAGUCCCGUAACGAGCGCAAACCCUUGUCCUUAUUUUGCCAGCCGCGGUAAUU
RNAcentral lists this ribosomal RNA (1126 nucleotides) under uncultured bacterium. RNAcentral describes it as "bacterial SSU rRNA". It matches the Rfam family "Bacterial small subunit ribosomal RNA", at positions 8 to 1130 of the family's 1533-position model. The record is from RNAcentral.